UACGUAGGGUGCGAGCGUUGUCCGGAAUUAUUGGGCGUAAAGGGCUCGUAGGCGGUUUGUCGCGUCGGGAGUGAAAAUCCAGGGCUUAACUCUGGACUGGCUUUCGAUACGGGCAGACUAGAGGUAUGCAGGGGAGAACGGAAUUCCUGGUGUAGCGGUGAAAUGCGCAGAUAUCAGGAGGAACACCGGUGGCGAAGGCGGUUCUCUGGGCAUUACCUGACGCUGAGGAGCGAAAGUGUGGGGAGCGAACAGG
RNAcentral lists this ribosomal RNA (253 nucleotides) under uncultured bacterium. Its description in RNAcentral is "partial 16S ribosomal RNA". It matches the Rfam family "Bacterial small subunit ribosomal RNA", at positions 524 to 776 of the family's 1533-position model. RNAcentral also lists the same sequence under 1 other name. The record is from RNAcentral.